UGGUUCUCAAAUUCUGGGAUUUUUAUUCAUAACAUAAUCAAUGGGCAAACUCCAAAUAAAACUUCCUUUUAGUCUUCCUCCUCCGUCUCUACCUCCGCUGCCCUCAUUACGCGUUGACCCUCCUGCUCCGACGUCCUCGUCCUAUAUCCUCUUCCCGCUCAUGCAAAUCCAGCAUCUCCCAUUGAUCGCAACAGGAGUGAAUUAUCUUCCUUUCCUUCCGCUUCUCUUUCUCUGCUUAGCUUUUAGGUUUUUGUAAAUUUGUAAUUUGUUGAUUAUGUUUUGUGCCCAAGAUUCAUGAUUUUGGUGAUUUAUAGUUGCAGUAGAGCUCCGGUGCCGGGUUGAAAUAAGAUGUGAUAUUGGCCUGUUGUUUCUUGAAUUGUUGCUGAUUGUUUCAAUUUUAGCAUCCUUUGAAGUCGGAAACUUGAAAUCUUAUUACGGGUUAUAGAGUUGUUUUGUCCGUGUAAUUUUUAUUCUUUUCCUAGAAUGUCUAUAUGGUCAUAUUUGUUUUUGGUUAGAUUGAGCUUGUAUAUUUGGUAUGUCUAUAAUUUAUUGGAUUUGGUUAGUUGAAGAAUUAGUUCGGGAUGAACUUAGUGCACUUGGUUGUAGACGGUUGAAAUUUACAGUCACGUUGUAAAGUGCUGUAUUCAUGAAUAUUCUAGACUUGAUACUUGAUAGGGUGCCUAUCCUGCCAUGCUCUUAUGAUUGAGCUAGACAUGAUACGGAAAAUGUCCAGCCUCCACGAAUGUGAUCAUUUGCAUAGGGUUGAAUGCUUGUGUGUAAACUAGGCAUCACUAUUUAUAAACGUGUUGAACAACCCAUGUUUAGGAAUGGUGUACCCAUUUGAUGUAGCACAAUCUCUGCUUGGUGAGACAUGUGGUUGAUGGUGGGAUAUGGGAUGCCCCCAUGUGUCUAUUCCGUUUCACAGAGAUUUUCAUGGGGAUGGAGACUUUUGUGCCCAUUACAUUGACUUGCUUAUGAAAUUAUUUUGAGUUAUAUUUUGUGUGAUAGACAUAUGAUCCUGGUUAAGGUAUAAGGAUCAUGUGUGUUAAGGCACAAGGAUCAUGUGUGCUGCAAUGGGGUUGUAGCAUCUUGGCCAAUUGGCUUUGUUUUGUUGGCUUAUCAGAUACAAAUAGGCAGUGUCCUGUCACAUAGCUCUUUAGCCUUCCUUGACUGAGACUUGUUGAUUGAUCUCAUCCACUUGAAAAUUCAUGUAGAAGUUGCCAAUUCUACUUUGUAAAGAGUUGCCUCGGCCCCAUUGCUCUUAUUGCAUCAAACUAGAUAGCCCCGCGAUCCUACCUUCAGUUUUCUUCUUUCAAUUUGUAUGAGAAAGUUAUUGGAUCAGUUUGCUGGUCAGUCACCCUAUCUUGCGUAUUUUCCUCUUCAUUUUUUGUAUAGGGUUGAUGGAUGAUAUCUAAUUUAUCCUCUGAGGUGGUUCAUUCUGCUUGAGAGCUGGCAAGUAGUAUGCUAGGAAUAAAAAGUUUAACUGCUUAUAAGUUGUAGGCCCUAUAGAAUGUGGGUACUAAGUAGUUAAGUUGUGGGUUCUUUGUUUUACCAGCUUAAAAAAAAAUCAAGCUUUGCCAAACUUGCACUUAAAGAAGCAAAUUGAUCUGUUAUGACAUUUUUGGGGCUUGAUGUUAAAUAGUCUGGAGAUAUUCUGCUGUGAUAAGAAGUGGUCUGGAAACAUAAAAUACUGGAAUAUUAGAGAAAUGAGAUAUCAUUUAUGGAGAACCAGGAGACUGUUGCUUUUAUAGAAUUAUUCAAACGGAUAGGAACAGAAUAAUGAGUUCUUUGGUCAAACAACUAGAAUGGAACGAAGUAUAUUUGUGUUUGUAUUGCAAAGAGAAUUAAUUCUGUCUUAAGAAACUACGUGCUAUAUAUUGUUGAACACAUGACUUUUUCCUUGCUUCUUUUGAAGUGAUUAGUAUUAUUAGCAAGGGGAUGAAAUAUAUUGUGUUACUGUAAAGAGAAUUAAAUGUGACUUAAUUGAGACUACAUGCUAUAUCUUGUUACGUGUUUGAACUUUUCCUUGCUUCUUUUGCAGUGAUUGGUAUCAUUAGAAGGAAGGUAUUGAUUAAAGACUUGGCUGCUGCAUACCAUGUUGAGUGCCUCACGUAUUGUCAGGAACUUUUGGAACUUCAAAGUAAAGUUGACGAGGUAAAAAUUUUCAUGCCACAUAUUUUCUUUGUUUUCUCUAAUCACGC
Molecule: long non-coding RNA, 2201 nt
Filed under: Olea europaea subsp. europaea
Lineage: Eukaryota; Viridiplantae; Streptophyta; Magnoliopsida; Lamiales; Oleaceae
Source: RNAcentral